CAGUAGCCGCGGUAAUACAAAGGGUGCAAGCGUUAAUCGGAAUUACUGGGCGUAAAGCGCGCGUAGGUGGUUUGGUAAGAUGGAUGUGAAAUCCCCGGGCUCAACCUGGGAACUGCAUCCAUAACUGCCUGACUAGAGUACGGUAGAGGGUGGUGGAAUUUCCUGUGUAGCGGUGAAAUGCGUAGAUAUAGGAAGGAACACCAGUGGCGAAGGCGACCACCUGGACUGAUACUGACACUGAGGUGCGAAAGCGUGGGGAGCAAACAGGAUUAGAUACCCCCGUAGUCCCUGUCUCUUAUAC
RNAcentral lists this ribosomal RNA (301 nucleotides) under uncultured bacterium. RNAcentral's name for it is "partial 16S ribosomal RNA". It matches the Rfam family "Bacterial small subunit ribosomal RNA", at positions 509 to 807 of the family's 1533-position model. The record is from RNAcentral.